CCGGAGAGAUCCGGCGUUCCCUUCGGGGACCUGCACACAGGUGCUGCAUGGCUGUCGUCAGCUCGUGUCGUGAGAUGUUGGGUUAAGUCCCGCAACGAGCGCAACCCACGUCUUAGUGCCAUCAUUGAGUUGGGCACUCUAGGGAGACUGCCGGUGAUAAGCCGCGAGGAAGGUGUGGAUGACGUCAAGUCCUCAUGGCCCUUACGGGAUGGGCUACACACGUGCCACAAUGGCGGUGACAGUGGGAUGCGAGCCUGCGAAGGUGAGCAAAUCCCCAAAAGCCGUCUCAGUUCGGAUUGCACUCUGCAACUCGGGUGCAUGAAGGCGGAAUCGCUAGUAAUCGUGGAUCAGCAUGCCACGGUGAAUACGUUCCCGGGCCUUGUACACACCGCCCGUCACACCAUGGGAGUUGGUCUUACCCGACGGCGCUGCGCCAACCGCGAGGAGGCAGGCGACCACGGUAGGGUCAGCGACUGGGGUGAAGUCGUAACAAGGUAAGCGUAGCGAG
RNAcentral lists this ribosomal RNA (508 nucleotides) under uncultured bacterium. Its description in RNAcentral is "bacterial SSU rRNA". It matches the Rfam family "Bacterial small subunit ribosomal RNA", at positions 998 to 1509 of the family's 1533-position model. The record is from RNAcentral.